UACGAAGGGGGCUAGCGUUGCUCGGAAUCACUGGGCGUAAAGCGCACGUAGGCGGCUUUUUAAGUCAGGGGUGAAAUCCUGGAGCUCAACUCCAGAACUGCCUUUGAUACUGGGAAUCUCGAGUCCGGGAGAGGUGAGUGGAACUGCGAGUGUAGAGGUGAAAUUCGUAGAUAUUCGCAAGAACACCAACGGCGAAGGCAGCCCGCUGGGACGGUACUGACGCUAAGGCGCGAAAGCGUGGGGAGCGAACAGG
Molecule: ribosomal RNA, 253 nt
Filed under: uncultured bacterium
Lineage: Bacteria
Description: partial 16S ribosomal RNA
Rfam family: Bacterial small subunit ribosomal RNA
Source: RNAcentral